Neopelma chrysocephalum (saffron-crested tyrant-manakin) is the source of this 179-nucleotide long non-coding RNA. RefSeq lists it as uncharacterized. The record is from RefSeq and is a predicted model, not a curated record. Lineage: Eukaryota; Metazoa; Chordata; Aves; Passeriformes; Pipridae. The transcript has 2 exons.
CAGGAGUUCUUUUACACCAGUGCAUGUGUAGAUGGAGUAUUUUUUCCAAAGAGUCCCAGGCAAUUACUAUCUGAAAAAUCAAUCAAUCCAGUCCCAUAUGUGAUAGGAGUAAAUAAUGGUGAAUUUACAUGGGUACUUCCUAUGCUAAUGAAAUUUCCUCCUUUCAUGGAUGGUCUGGA